Molecule: non-coding RNA, 23 nt
Filed under: Arabidopsis thaliana (thale cress)
Lineage: Eukaryota; Viridiplantae; Streptophyta; Magnoliopsida; Brassicales; Brassicaceae
Source: RNAcentral
CCACUAACUUGUGAUGUUGUCUU